Leopardus geoffroyi (Geoffroy's cat) is the source of this 1696-nucleotide long non-coding RNA. RefSeq lists it as uncharacterized. Lineage: Eukaryota; Metazoa; Chordata; Mammalia; Carnivora; Felidae. The transcript is spliced from 2 exons. The record is from RefSeq and is a predicted model, not a curated record.
CCAGCUCCCAGCUUUCCGUAAGAGAAGAAAAACAGCUGGCCAAGCUGGACUCCCUUGUUCCGCCCUUGUCUCCUAGUUCUAUGUACUCCCUAUUCUUGGAAAGAAACCCAGCGUCAUUCAUUACACAAGUAGCUACUGAUCUGCUCUGAAGCCUGGCAUUGCUUUAGGCCCUGGGGACAUGACUGUGCUGAGACCAAGUCCUGAAGCAAAGUUCCAGUGGGUGGCAGAGGUCAGAACAAAGACAUGUUAUGUUGUAGUAUGUGGUGUGAUGAGUUCUUUAGGAAAAGGGAGAGGUUAAGGGAAGAGUGUGGCAACUGUUAGCUUAGAUGGACGGUCAGGAGAGGCUACUCCUGAAGGAAGUGAGAGGAUCAGCCAGGGAAGGUGCUUGGGGAAGAGUGCUCCCUUGCAGAAGGAACAGCAAGUGCAAAGGUCCUGGGGAGGGAUGUGCCUGACAAAUUGCAGGAACAGCAAGGAGGCCAGUGUGGCCUGAUUACAAGGAAGGCUGGGAGGCGGCAGAGGGAGCCAGAGUGUCCUUGGGGCCUUGCAAUUUAUGCAGAACAUCUUGAAUUUUGUUCCAAGUUUUCAAAUGUACCCGAACAUCAUGUCGACAUAUCUUGUUCCUUGUAACUUUCUACGUACAAUCAACCAGGCUCUAACCACUGAGCUCAUGGCUCCGUGUGUGAAUAGACAGCAUGGUACUGGCCAUCCGGGUAGAUGGAUGAACAUUUGGGCAGGUCCCAUUCCUCCUUCACAAACACUGGCCCAGGGAACCCCUGCGCAUCUCUGGUGCACACAGCAGACCUAGAACUGCAGGGACACAGGGAGUCUCUAUUCCUGCAACCGCGGGGACAAGGGGUGUUUAUGUUCACUUUUGCUAUGAACUGCAGCCAGCUCUUAGGAGCAGCCAGACUAAUUUACUGCCUGGAGACAGGUCAUGGCCCCACUGUCCACGUUCGUGCGUUUCCUUGGAUUUUUGACGUUCCCAGGUUGCUGCCCCCGCGGUGUGCAUCACCCCCUCCCCCUCCUCGGGCCCCGCCGCAGCACUGGGAACCGGGGUAAAGCCAACUGGCGUCAAUCGGCAGUCACUAAGUCCCGCCGUCCUUGUCCUCAUUCUACCCUGCCUAAUAUGACCCUGGAUUCUGGAACUUCAGUUUCCCGUGGCCUCACUCGGAAUUCCCUGAGCCCUCCCCGCGGUCCUGGUCUCCGCUCCUUCGUGUCCGCGCCCUGGAGCCCCCACCUGAGCAUCUAGCGAGGGGACAGAGACCCCUGGCGACCGAAAAGGAAAAACCAGAGCCGCAGAGAAGUUUGUGAAAAUUAAUAAAGGGAAACUUUCCUGAAAUGGAGUGGCAGCAGCUCUCAAGACUUACCACUAGACUCAAGGGUUGUCAGUUACAGAUCCUCAACAGAAGCAUCAACAGGAAAGAAUCAUCAAUUAUAGGCCUCAACAGAGAAAGCUGGGCAUUGUAUCUCCUACAAGAAACUGACCACCCAGCUACUCCACCAAUGAGAAGCCUUCAUCACCCUGAACGCUUGUCUUUCUCCAAUGAUCUCCUUCAAAACAACCCCUCCCAACUUCCUCCUUCUCCAUAUGAUAAUGUUUCUCUCCUUUGUUGGACUAGCCUAUGGUUGUUUCCCCAGCUUGAAUUGCAGUAUUCUGGUAUUCCCUAAUAAACCCAUUUUUGCUGGGAACAUGAAA